UAGAGAUUUCAAGAGAAACAAAACGGAAUUACAAGAGGAAAAAAAACAAUAGAAGAGAGGAGAAGAGAAACUUAGGCUAGAAACAAGGAAAGAGCUACGAUUUUGGGAGGAGAAAAAGCCCAAAACGUUACCAAACAGUUCCUAAGUUUCAGCUGCGCUAAAGGAAAUUUUGAGGCAAGUUUUAGCGAGUUUUGGUGAAUUUCGGGAAAGGUUCAAGAGACGACGAGGCGAGCAUAGUUAAGAGUAAUUCGUAAGAGGUACAGAUGAUUGGUUUGUUGAUCCGCUCGCUUAGGACAUCCAGCAUGUUGGUCGACAGUGCUCCUUUGUUCGGAGCCCUAUUUUGGUACUGACACUUUCUGUUGUGUAUAUAUAUAUAUAUAUAUAUAUAUAUAUGUUGUUCAAGGUAUGGCGGGGCCCUGUCCCGUCAUAUGACUAGGAUAUCAUUCUGUAGAGGUCUGUAGACAUGAGAUGUGGGUUUUGUAUAUAUGUUUUGGGUUUUUUGUAUUUCGUGAUGGCCUAUCGGCCCUCGUGCAUUAUAUCUAUUUAGAGAUCCCUUCUGAUCAUUACCUAUGUUUAUUCGAGUGAUGUACUAAGUGGGGCUAAGGGUACGUAUGGGUGUCCAACUCGGGCACCAGUCAUGGCCCACGGAGUUGGGUCAUGACAUUUAGUCAAUCAUGACAUGCUUGUGGAAGCAUGACCAACUUCAGAUGGUCAUAUCUUUCUUUUAAAUUUUUUCACAAUGUAAGGGGGUCUUUUAAUGUGAGAUAUUAUAAUUUUAGCCCCUUAUCAAGAUGGUGGCGGAGAAAUAUCAUGGUGAUGACUCCAUCAAUAGAGUCUUUACAAGCAGUAAAUAGAAGCAAAGAAGGCAACGAAGGUGAAGAACACAGUGACUGCAGAACAGAGAAGAGAAGAUGAAGAAGUGAAGAGAUGAAGUGUAGAGAGAAGGAAGAGAAAAGUAUAGAGAGAGAAAGAAAAAUCUGUAAAAUGAAUUGUGUA
Solanum dulcamara is the source of this 996-nucleotide long non-coding RNA. RefSeq lists it as uncharacterized. The record is from RefSeq and is a predicted model, not a curated record. The transcript has 4 exons. NCBI's taxonomy places the organism in Eukaryota, Viridiplantae, Streptophyta, Magnoliopsida, Solanales, Solanaceae.